UACUAGUCUCUGAGAAAAAUGAACCCACAGCCCAUUAUCUAUCACAGAUGCCAUGUUUUCCCACUGGGGAUAUGUGUGCUUCUGAUGAUACACUGAGCUUACCAAGAAUAGGCAAAGUCAAGAUAAAUGUGCAGCAUCUUUAUUGGAAGAAUGUGAGAGGAAUUAUGUUCAAAUUAAAAUUAAAUAUGCAGAAUUAACAUGAUUUUUCAAAAUCAGAUGGGAGACAUUAAAUGUUACUUUCUCAAUGAGUAACUUUAUGGAAUGACCCUGUAUUCCUAGGAGAGAUAACUGUAACAGCUCACAUUUAUCCAGAGAGCUCUUAGUACAUGCUAGACAUUAUCUAAUUUAGUUAUCACACUAGCCCUAUGAUCUACUUGUUAUGACUUCCAUUGUACAGAUGAGGAGACUGAGAAAUUGGAUAACUUGCUCAAGAUCAAUCACACAGCUAGUAAAUGGUAAAAUGCUAACAAUACUAAGUACUAAAUCUCCUCCCUAUAUAUGCAACAUUUGCUUUAGUUUUAAUUAUAUAGCUCUAUAUGUUCAUUAAUUUUGAAAAUGAAACCCUAUAGUAUUAUACAAAGUUAGAAGAAAAAAGUUUCCAUCUUCCUCAACUUUUCUAUUUUGUUGCUAGUUUCUUCUUGUAUAUGAGCCUGGUAGUAGUGUGUAUGGACAUUGAUCAAAUUUUCAAAGCUUGGACUCUUAAUCUCUAUGUUGUGUGGUUGAAAAAGCUCAGAAGCAUGUACAUAAAUUUUGCCAAAAAAAUCUGUCCAAUAUUUAAUUUAGACCCCACUUAAAUCAUAUUCUUACUGGGUGCACGUGUCCAAUCCCUUUGUUGGAGUAUAACUCUUUAAAAGUUAGAAAUAUAAUACACACUCUCAAAUAUAUAGUGGGUAUGUCAAGGAUUUCCCCUAACUCAGUAAUAAGGUACACAACAGGAUGACAAAAUUGGUUCAAAAGAGGUGUAUUUAGUCAGUUA
Long non-coding RNA from Phyllostomus discolor (pale spear-nosed bat), 976 nucleotides. RefSeq lists it as uncharacterized. The transcript has 3 exons. The record is from RefSeq and is a predicted model, not a curated record. NCBI's taxonomy places the organism in Eukaryota, Metazoa, Chordata, Mammalia, Chiroptera, Phyllostomidae.